UAACUAUCUGGCGCCUAAGAGUCCUACUGUGUCGGCUAGUCCACCCAGCACCAAAGUGCAAGGAGUUGGGGGGCAAGACAACCUGGAACGAGGGAAGCCGACGGAGAUUCUGUCUCCCAGGGCCAAUCUCGUGGCGAGCUCUAGCGAUGGAGCCGUCGUAACGCGCGGCAAGGUGUCGGCUCUGUCCCUUUUUUGGGACCGGGCUUAAGGAACGUGCUAGUCCCCUGGACCAACCAGGCCAGUUGCUGGAGUGCUUGCACCACUAAGGCAGCUGGAAGCGUUUGAGAUCGUGGAGGAAAUGCCUCGAUCGAUGCUUGGUAUCUCG
RNAcentral lists this non-coding RNA (325 nucleotides) under Chlorella variabilis. Lineage: Eukaryota; Viridiplantae; Chlorophyta; Trebouxiophyceae; Chlorellales; Chlorellaceae. The record is from RNAcentral.